AUUGAACGCUGGCGGCAGGCCUAACACAUGCAAGUCGAGCGGUAGCACAGAGAGCUUGCUCUCGGGUGACGAGCGGCGGACGGGUGAGUAAUGUCUGGGAAACUGCCUGAUGGAGGGGGAUAACUACUGGAAACGGUAGCUAAUACCGCAUAANGUCGCAAGACCAAAGUGGGGGACCUUCGGGCCUCAUGCCAUCAGAUGUGCCCAGAUGGGAUUAGCUAGUAGGUGGGGUAANGGCUCACCUAGGCGACGAUCCCUAGCUGGUCUGAGAGGAUGACCAGCCACACUGGAACUGAGACACGGUCCAGACUCCUACGGGAGGCAGCAGUGGGGAAUAUUGCACAAUGGGCGCAAGCCUGAUGCAGCCAUGCCGCGUGUGUGAAGAAGGCCUUCGGGUUGUAAAGCACUUUCAGCGGGGAGGAAGGCGNUNAGGUUAAUAACCUNANCGAUUGACGUUACCCGCAGAAGAAGCACCGGCUAACUCCGUGCCAGCAGCCGCGGUAAUACGGAGGGUGCAAGCGUUAAUCGGAAUUACUGGGCGUAAAGCGCACGCAGGCGGUCUGUCAAGUCGGAUGUGAAAUCCCCGGGCUCAACCUGGGAACUGCAUUCGAAACUGGCAGGCUAGAGUCUUGUAGAGGGGGGUAGAAUUCCAGGUGUAGCGGUGAAAUGCGUAGAGAUCUGGAGGAAUACCGGUGGCGAAGGCGGCCCCCUGGACAAAGACUGACGCUCAGGUGCGAAAGCGUGGGGAGCAAACAGGAUUAGAUACCCUGGUAGUCCACGCCGUAAACGAUGUCGAUUUGGAGGUUGUGCCCUUGAGGCGUGGCUUCCGGAGCUAACGCGUUAAAUCGACCGCCUGGGGAGUACGGCCGCAAGGUUAAAACUCAAAUGAAUUGACGGGGGCCCGCACAAGCGGUGGAGCAUGUGGUUUAAUUCGAUGCAACGCGAAGAACCUUACCUGGUCUUGACAUCCACAGAACUUUCCAGAGAUGGAUUGGUGCCUUCGGGAACUGUGAGACAGGUGCUGCAUGGCUGUCGUCAGCUCGUGUUGUGAAAUGUUGGGUUAAGUCCCGCAACGAGCGCAACCCUUAUCCUUUGUUGCCAGCGGUUNGGCCGGGAACUCAAAGGAGACUGCCAGUGAUAAACUGGAGGAAGGUGGGGAUGACGUCAAGUCAUCAUGGCCCUUACGACCAGGGCUACACACGUGCUACAAUGGCAUAUACAAAGAGAAGCGACCUCGCGAGAGCAAGCGGACCUCAUAAAGUAUGUCGUAGUCCGGAUUGGAGUCUGCAACUCGACUCCAUGAAGUCGGAAUCGCUAGUAAUCGUAGAUCAGAAUGCUACGGUGAAUACGUUCCCGGGCCUUGUACACACCGCCCGUCACACCAUGGGAGUGGGUUGCAAAAGAAGUAGGUAGCUUAACCUUCGGGAGGGCGCUUACCACUUUGUGAUUCAUGACUGGGGUGAAG
RNAcentral lists this ribosomal RNA (1465 nucleotides) under Klebsiella pneumoniae. Its description in RNAcentral is "16S ribosomal RNA". It matches the Rfam family "Bacterial small subunit ribosomal RNA". Lineage: Bacteria; Pseudomonadati; Pseudomonadota; Gammaproteobacteria; Enterobacterales; Enterobacteriaceae. The record is from RNAcentral.